This is a non-coding RNA of Acanthosepion pharaonis, 114 nucleotides long. Lineage: Eukaryota; Metazoa; Mollusca; Cephalopoda; Sepiida; Sepiidae. The record is from the annotation of a GenBank genome assembly.
CUACAGCCAUAUCAUGUUAAAACAUUGGUUCUCAUCUGAUUACUGAAGUUAAGAAAUGUUGAGCCUGGUCAGUACAUAGAUGGGUGAUUGCUUGGGAAUAACAGGUGCUGUAAG